This 223-nucleotide small RNA is filed under the name Arabidopsis thaliana (thale cress). RNAcentral describes it as "ATSL041120". The record is from RNAcentral. Lineage: Eukaryota; Viridiplantae; Streptophyta; Magnoliopsida; Brassicales; Brassicaceae.
UUCAUCUUCUCGAAUAUUGUCAAUGUAAAGACCAAGCUGAUGCUCGAGUGAUCUCCGAUCGACAUGAGUAAAAUCUUGUGGAUAAAACUCAGACAAUCUCAGAACUUUCAACUGAUCAAACUCAUGAAACGAAUCAAUAGGGCUUAAAGAAGCAACACAACUAAGUAAUUCAGUGUUUACCUCAUCGAAACGAUCAUUAAACUCUUGAAUUUGCAUAUCUAAU